UUCGGAGGAGGACGUCGAAGGUGGGGCUGAUGACUGGGGUGAAGUCGUAACAAGGUAUCCGUACCGGAAGGUGCGGAUGGAUCACCUCCUAACAGGGAGACAACACAAAGAUUUUGAUGUCUGAGUAAUUUAUUCUUAGGCCGAAAUCCUGUCACCUUAGGUCGAUCGGUACCUCAGCGUUGAAGCAACAGAGUUAACAGAGAUGUUGAUGCGUGUUGUGGAGAUGAUCAGUUCCUAAACUUUGUCUAGGUCACACCCCACAAGGGUUGAGUUUUCCUGGGCCAUUAGCUCAGGUGGUUAGAGCGCACCCCUGAUAAGGGUGAGGUCCCUGGUUCAAGUCCAGGAUGGCCCAUUCGUUGUUGGGGGUAUAGCUCAGUUGGUAGAGCGCCUGCUUUGCAAGCAGGAUGUCAGCGGUUCGAGUCCGCUUACCUCCACUGAAAACUAUCCUGAUAACUAAAUUUCUGGAGAAAAAAAUUGUAGAUGUGGCUUAGAAUUGUCUAUUUGAAAAGAACCUAGCUUCUUGUCAUCUUUUUAUAGUUGAUAAAAUGCUGGGCUCGCAUGGAUUGUUUCCAUGAGAAUUCAGUAGAACCUUGAAAACUGCAUAGAUUAGAAAGAAUAAAGCAUCUCAUGGAUGCAUAGUUCUGUUUUUAUAAUUUAGCCUCAAAACUAAAUUAUUUAAUUCUAGAAUUCAUGUUUAAUUCUUGAGUAAUAGCCGAGCACAAUUGAUUUUGUGAUUGUAUUAAGGUCAAGCUACAA
Molecule: unclassified non-coding RNA, 756 nt
Filed under: uncultured Prochlorococcus sp.
Lineage: Bacteria; Bacillati; Cyanobacteriota; Cyanophyceae; Synechococcales; Prochlorococcaceae
Description: partial 16S-23S ribosomal RNA intergenic spacer; may also contain 16S ribosomal RNA and 23S ribosomal RNA
Rfam family: tRNA (bases 362-434)
Source: RNAcentral